Molecule: ribosomal RNA, 568 nt
Filed under: Tannerella forsythia
Lineage: Bacteria; Pseudomonadati; Bacteroidota; Bacteroidia; Bacteroidales; Tannerellaceae
Description: bacterial SSU rRNA
Rfam family: Bacterial small subunit ribosomal RNA
Source: RNAcentral
CACGCAGUAAACGAUGAUUACUAGGAGUUUGCGAUAUACAGUAAGCUCUACAGCGAAAGCGUUAAGUAAUCCACCUGGGGAGUACGCCGGCAACGGUGAAACUCAAAGGAAUUGACGGGGGCCCGCACAAGCGGAGGAACAUGUGGUUUAAUUCGAUGAUACGCGAGGAACCUUACCCGGGAUUGAAAUGUAGACGACGGACAGUGAGAGCUGUCUUCCCUUCGGGGCGUCUAUGUAGGUGCUGCAUGGUUGUCGUCAGCUCGUGCCGUGAGGUGUCGGCUUAAGUGCCAUAACGAGCGCAACCCUGACUGUCAGUUGCUAACAGGUUAAGCUGAGGACUCUGGCGGGACUGCCGGCGUAAGCUGUGAGGAAGGUUGGGAUGACGUCAAAUCAGCACGGCCCUUACAUCCGGGGCGACACACGUGUUACAAUGGCAGGGACAAAGGGCAGCUACCGGGCGACCGGAUGCCAAUCUCCAAACCCUGUCUNAGUUCGGAUCGGAGUCUGCAACUCGACUCCGUGAAGCUGGAUUCGCUAGUAAUCGCGCAUCACCAUGGCGCGGUGAAUA